This 443-nucleotide ribosomal RNA is filed under the name uncultured bacterium. RNAcentral describes it as "partial 16S ribosomal RNA". It matches the Rfam family "Bacterial small subunit ribosomal RNA", at positions 338 to 795 of the family's 1533-position model. The record is from RNAcentral.
CCUACGGGUGGCAGCAGUGGGGAAUAUUGGGCAAUGGGCGCAAGCCUGACCCAGCAACGCCGCGUGAAGGAAGAAGGCUUUCGGGUUGUAAACUUCUUUUCUCAGGGACGAAGCAAGUGACGGUACCUGAAGAAUAAGCCACGGCUAACUACGUGCCAGCAGCCGCGGUAAUACGUAGGUGGCAAGCGUUAUCCGGAUUUACUGGGUGUAAAGGGCGUGUAGGCGGGAAAGCAAGUCAGAUGUGAAAACCAUGGGCUCAACCUGUGGACUGCAUUUGAAACUGUUUUUCUUGAGUACUGGAGAGGCAGACGGAAUUCCUAGUGUAGCGGUGAAAUGCGUAGAUAUUAGGAGGAACACCAGUGGCGAAGGCGGUCUGCUGGACAGUAACUGACGCUGAGGCGCGAAAGCGUGGGGAGCAAACAGGAUUAGAUACCCGUGUAGUC